UCUAUCCAUCUUCUCCAUAGUUUUCUUCCCUCUGCAUAUUUCAUUUCCUUGAAUCGAAGGCAUAAAUCUCCAUUUCCAAUACCCUUUUCUUACUAAAUCGAAGUUUUAGAUAUGCACACCACAUGUUUGAUAAAAUGUUUUAGUGAGCAAUUGGAUCUCCAAAGCUUUCUCUCCAAAGAUAGCCCUCUUGACCACUUUUAGAUAUGUAUACCAUGUUUCUGAUAAAAUGUUGUAGUGGAAUGGGAAACUUUCUCUCCAAAGUUAGUCCUCUCUAUCAAUGACAUUUAGAUUGAUGCUUCCCUCUUUGGAAUAUAUGUUCGUGUGUCAUUGUUGACUAUUGUAGACUAAAGAAUAGGGGUUUCCCAUUCAUAUUGAUCACCAUUUAUAGCAGACCUCUUUUACUCUUCUGCCUUUAGAUUAGCGACUGCAUACUCUCUUUCUCACUCGAUAACCCAAAAUCAGAUCAAGACAUGGAUCGCAUUGCGUUGUUACAUGACACUUCAGUUGCACUUCACAGUCUGAAAGUGCAAGGGAAAGCUAUACCUGCUUUGCUUGAUUUGCAAGAGAAAUCGGAAUGAAAGUUGCUCCCAACAAAAUUAAUAAUCACACGUUUAUGAAGGAGUUAAAAGCUUCUCAUGUUAACAGCUUAGUGAGAAAUGUUUUAU
Molecule: long non-coding RNA, 665 nt
Filed under: Medicago truncatula (barrel medic)
Lineage: Eukaryota; Viridiplantae; Streptophyta; Magnoliopsida; Fabales; Fabaceae
Description: lncRNA gene33831
Source: RNAcentral